RNAcentral lists this ribosomal RNA (468 nucleotides) under uncultured bacterium. RNAcentral's name for it is "partial 16S ribosomal RNA". It matches the Rfam family "Bacterial small subunit ribosomal RNA", at positions 28 to 507 of the family's 1533-position model. The record is from RNAcentral.
GACGAACGCUGGCGGCGUGCUUAACACAUGCAAGUCGAACGGACAGGCCCUGCUUUUGUGGGGUGCUCGAGUGGCGAACGGGUGAGUAACACGUGAGUAACCUGCCCUUGACUUUGGGAUAACUUCAGGAAACUGGGGCUAAUACCGGAUAGGAGCUCCUGCUGCAUGGUGGGGGUUGGAAAGUUUCGGCGGUUGGGGAUGGACUCGCGGCUUAUCAGCUUGUUGGUGGGGUAGUGGCUUACCAAGGCUUUGACGGGUAGCCGGCCUGAGAGGGUGACCGGCCACAUUGGGACUGAGAUACGGCCCAGACUCCUACGGGAGGCAGCAGUGGGGAAUAUUGCACAAUGGGCGGAAGCCUGAUGCAACAACGCCGCGUGCGGGAUGACGGCCUUCGGGUUGUAAACCGCUUUCGCCUGUGACGAAGCGUGAGUGACGGUAAUGGGUAAGGAAGCACCGGCUAACUACGUG